This 253-nucleotide ribosomal RNA is filed under the name uncultured bacterium. RNAcentral's name for it is "partial 16S ribosomal RNA". It matches the Rfam family "Bacterial small subunit ribosomal RNA", at positions 524 to 776 of the family's 1533-position model. The record is from RNAcentral.
AACGUAGGAGCCAAGCGUUCUCCGAAUUUACUGGGCGUAAAGCGCGUGCAGGCGGCUCGAUAAGUUGGCUGUGAAAUCGCCUGGCUCAACUGGGCGAGGCCGGUCAAGACUGUCGGGCUAGAAGGCAGGAGAGGGAGGUGGAAUUCCCGGUGUAGUGGUGAAAUGCGUAGAGAUCGGGAGGAACACCAGUGGCGAAAGCGGCCUCCUAGGCUGCACCUGACGCUUAGACGCGAAAGCUAGGGGAGCGAACGGG